ACCAGAUGCAGUGGCAGGUACCUAUAGUCCCAGCUACUUGAGAGGCUGAGACAGAAGGAUCACUUGAGUCCAGGAGUUCUGGGCUGUAGUGUGCUGUGCUAAUCAGUUCUGCAUUAAGUUUGGCAUCAAUAUGGUGACCCACCCCCAGGAGUGGGGGACGACCGGGUUGCCUAAGGAGGGGUGAAGUGGCCCAGGUCAGAAAUGGAGCAGGUCAAAACUCCUGUGUUGAUCAGUAGUGGCAUCAUGCCUGUGAAUAGCCACUGCACUCUAGCCUGGGCAAAAUAGUGAGAUCCCCC
Molecule: non-coding RNA, 296 nt
Organism: Otolemur garnettii (small-eared galago)
Lineage: Eukaryota; Metazoa; Chordata; Mammalia; Primates; Galagidae
Source: Rfam